AGAGUUUGAUCCUGGCUCAGAUUGAACGCUGGCGGCAUGCUUUACACAUGCAAGUCGAACGGCAGCACGGACUUCGGUCUGGUGGCGAGUGGCGAACGGGUGAGUAAUACAUCGGAACGUACCCAGUAAUGGGGGAUAACUAGUCGAAAGAUUAGCUAAUACCGCAUACGCCCUACGGGGGAAAGAGGGGGAUCGCAAGACCUCUUGUUAUUGGAGCGGCCGAUGGCUGAUUAGCUAGUUGGUGGGGUAAAGGCCUACCAAGGCGACGAUCAGUAGCGGGUCUUAGAGGACGAUCCGCCACACUGGAACUGAGACACGGUCCAGACUCCUACGGGAGGCAGCAGUGGGGAAUCUUGGACAAUGGGCGAAAGCCUGAUCCAGCAAUGCCGCGUGCGUGAAGAAGGCCUUC
RNAcentral lists this ribosomal RNA (409 nucleotides) under uncultured bacterium. RNAcentral's name for it is "bacterial SSU rRNA". It matches the Rfam family "Bacterial small subunit ribosomal RNA", at positions 8 to 419 of the family's 1533-position model. The record is from RNAcentral.